CCUACGUGGGGCUGCAGUGGGGAAUAUUGGACAAUGGGCGAAAGCCUGAUCCAGCCAUGCCGCGUGUGUGAAGAAGGCCUUCGGGUUGUAAAGCACUUUCAGUGGGGAAGAAAGCCUUGGGGCUAAUACCCUCGAGGAAGGACAUCACCCACAGAAGAAGCACCGGCUAACUCCGUGCCAGCAGCCGCGGUAAUACGGAGGGUGCGAGCGUUAAUCGGAAUUACUGGGCGUAAAGCGCGCGUAGGCGGUCUGAUAAGCCGGUUGUGAAAGCCCCGGGCUCAACCUGGGAACGGCAUCCGGAACUGUCAGGCUAGAGUGCAGGAGAGGAAGGUAGAAUUCCCGGUGUAGCGGUGAAAUGCGUAGAGAUCGGGAGGAAUACCAGUGGCGAAGGCGGCCUUCUGGACUGACACUGACGCUGAGGUGCGAAAGCGUGGGUAGCAAACAGGAUUAGAUACCCUAGUAGUC
Molecule: ribosomal RNA, 465 nt
Filed under: Vreelandella stevensii
Lineage: Bacteria; Pseudomonadati; Pseudomonadota; Gammaproteobacteria; Oceanospirillales; Halomonadaceae
Description: partial 16S ribosomal RNA
Rfam family: Bacterial small subunit ribosomal RNA
Source: RNAcentral